UGGGCACACACAGAAAUGCCGGGGGGGCAC
RNAcentral lists this non-coding RNA (30 nucleotides) under Mus musculus (house mouse). Lineage: Eukaryota; Metazoa; Chordata; Mammalia; Rodentia; Muridae. The record is from RNAcentral.